This 10790-nucleotide long non-coding RNA is filed under the name Lathyrus oleraceus (garden pea). RNAcentral describes it as "Pisum sativum (pea) long non-coding RNA (PSAT_LNC030669)". Lineage: Eukaryota; Viridiplantae; Streptophyta; Magnoliopsida; Fabales; Fabaceae. The record is from RNAcentral.
CUCACUUGAGUUCACACUCCGUUGCGCCAGAAAUCGCCUCUGGCGAAUGUGGAGGACCAAACUUCCAAAACCUUAUGUCAAAAUGCUCAACGUAACUCCAUCUCUCAUAAUCCCUCAUCUGUUCAAUAAUCUUUUAAAAACUGUUAGGAAGUUAGUUACAGUUAACGAUUAGUUAGUCUGUUAGAAACUGUUGAUGUUUGUGGAAUCAAGAAAAUUAGUUAUGAAUUUGAAGUUAUAGUUAGAUGCUUCUAGAUUGAAAGUUAGUGAAAUGUAUUAACAGAGUCAUGUGUUAGCUUGGAUUUAGAUUAAAGUCACUGGACAAUUAGGAAUUGUUAACUGUUAGUUGUUGUGUUAAAAUUGAAAUUAGUUAUAAGUUUGACAGUUAGGGUUAGAGGAUUUUAUGAGGAAGUUUGAAUUGUUACAGUUAGAUAUAUAACAUGUUGUUAGGUUGAGUUAGUGACUUGUUACAGUUAGGGUUAGAGGAUAUCAGGGUGAGUGCAUUUGUGUCAGUGCAUUGAAAUGAAUAUAUAUUGUUGUAUGUUGAUGUGUUACAAUGGGUGACGUUAAGACAUUUGAGCUAGUUUUUAGCAUUAGUUAAACUUGAAUGGAUUAAAUUAUAUUUGCAUUGAAAAACAGGGGUUGUUAGUUUGAAAAUGAGUUAGUUAUAUCAAAAUCAAAUGGUUAAUGUUAGUUAGAUGCAUGGUUGUUAAUAUGAUGAGCUCAUGAAUUUCCUACUGCAGUGCAAGUGUUUAAAUGAAUCUAAGUAUGAAUUGGAUGUUAGAUGUUAGAGACUGGAGGCUAUUAGAUCAGUAUGUGGAAUAUUUGAAAUUGAAAUGUCAUCGAAACUUACAUUACUAUGACACUUGAAGAUGAUGAUUUUAUGAACUAUUUGUGGCAUUAGUGAAUUAGAAUGUUAGUAAAUUGCCAUGACAUCAGCUCUAAAUUGAAGUCAAUAGGUUAAUGUGUUAGUAGAAUCACUACGCCAAAAAUGACUUUUAACAGCGCAUCUUAGACAGCGCUUUUAAAAGAAAGCGCUGUCUAAGGUUAAAAUAAAAAACAAACACGGAAAAUGUUCCAAGAAAAUAAUAAAAGCGCUGUCUAAUGGGGGGUUUAGACAGCGCUUUCUAAAAGCGCUGUCUAAGACCCCCCUUAGACAGCGCUUUUAGAAGCGCUUAUAUAUUAGACUUUAGACAGCGCUUUGGUAAGCGCUGUUAAAGUCUUUAAAUUAAAAAAAAAAUUAAAACCAAAAGCGCUGUCUAAGGGGGGUUAGAAAGCCUUUUGGAAGCGUUGCUCUAGGCAUACCUUAGAGGCGUUUACACAAAAGCGCUGUCUAAGGUCUUAUUAAAAUAAAAUUUCAGACCAAAAGCGCUUUCGUUCUCUGUUAUUUUGUUUUCCCUCUCUUCACUCACCUCAAAAACUUACGCCAUUUCCACAAAAGCGCUUUGUUUCCUUCUUCUCAACUCACACAAUAACCCUACCUUCUCAUCUCGGCGGCCGUGCUCACGUAUUUCUCUCUGGAAACAAACCUAAAUUUCUCACUGUACGGCGGUGCUCACGUAUUUCUUCUCACUAUACGGCAGCGAAACAAACCCUUCCUUCUCACUGUACCGGCGGUGCUCACGUACUUCUCACCAUAACCACACCUUGUAAGUCUCUUUCUCAAACCCUAAAUAACUUUGGUACCAAAUGCAUGUUGAAGUAGAGGUAUUGACUACAUGUAUUCAUUCUUGCAUAUGUGAAUGUUUAUGUUUGUGAGUGAUAUUUGAUUUUAUAUAAUGUGUUAUAGAUGAACAUUAUGUGUGAAACUCUUGCCCAUUUUAUAUUUUUCUGUAUUUUUCUGUAUCACAUGUUGCUUCUGUUGAAAACUCAGUCAUAUUUUUCUGUAUCACCAAUGUUGGUUCUGAUUAUGUGUGAAAACUCAGUUAUAUAUAAAGACCAAAUUUUGAGAUUUUGAAGUUUAUUCUGUGCUUAGGGUUGAAUGUUGGUUUUGAAGUUGAAUCAGUUAGUGUUUAGGGAAUUAAAGUGUUAGUUUGAAAUGUUAGUUAAGUUAGUAAGUUAGUGAAAAUAGUUAGUUGGUUAUUGAUAAUAUGAUUGUUAGUUGAGUGUGAUUCGAUAGUUAGCUAUGAAACUGUUAUUUAUGUGUCAGAGACUGUUAGAGAUUAAUUAGAACAGUUUUUGUAGUAGGACUGUUAUGAAAUUUGAAUGUGAUUCAGUUAGUUAUUAGGAAAGUUGGUUAGUCAUGUUUGAAUUGGCAAUAAAAUUAGUAAGUUAGUUAAUAUUGAAUGGACAAGGUUUAUUAGUGUAUUUUGAAAUCAGUUAUUGAAAUGCUAAUAGGAGUUAAAGUAGUAGUUAGUGUAUCAAUUUACUAACUCAUGCUAGUCUGAAAAGAACAAGUACAAGUUUGGUGACAGGUGAAUACUAGUUAGGAUGUUAAAUGGUUUUGGUGAAUGUAUUUUGAAAUCAAUUUGAAUGUUCAUUGAAACUACUAUGGAAUAAUAGUUUUGACCAGUUGAAUGUUCAAAGAUACUACUUAUUUAUGUAUUUUCGUCUAGAUUAAUUGUUUACUUAAUAAGUAGGAAAACAUGGAUAAAUGGAUCUGUGCGUCGAAUGACCAAGAGUACGAGAGUAGGUUUUGGAAUUCGUUAAGUAUGCUGUUCAACACGCUGACCCCAGACGAAUGCAUGUCCUUGCUUGCGUGUUGUUAUAUUGGUAAGGUUGACGCACAUGGAUUGAAAUCGCAUUUGCUGAGGCAUGGAAUUUGAUCAAAGUUAUCAGUGUUGGAUAUUUCAUGGUGAGAAAAUUAACGAGAAUGUUGAAUCGAGUGGAAAAAGUAGUACGACCUAAUGCUUCAUAGACAAAGACACGGAAAUACGAUUGUGAUCGAGUUGAAGAGAUUGUAGAAGCACUGGAAGAAGAUCUUCAUGAUUGUCCUGAAAUGUUUGAGAGGAUGGUAAGCGAUGCAGAGAAACCGUUGUACAAAGGUUGCACUAAAUUCUCAAGACUUUCUGCGGUAUUAAAGUUGUACAACUUAAAGGCGGGCAAUGGAUGGUCGGAUAAAAUUUCACAGAGUUGUUGGCCCUUAUGAGAGAAAUGCACCGAUGAUAAUGUUCUUCCUAAUCGAACCUAUGAGGCAAAAAAAAUGUUGUGCUCUAUUGGCAUGAGCUAUGAUAAGAUACAUGCUUGUCCUAACGAUUGCAUUUGUGUUUCGUAACGAAUAUGCAAUGUUAACUGAGUGCCUAAAUGCGGUUUGUCUGAUAUAAGAAAAGAUUAUCUCCCGCAAAAGUCUUAUGGUAUUUUCCGAUAAUUCCGAGAUUUAGGCGCAUGUUUCGUAGUGAACCGAUGCAAGACAUCUUACUUGGCAUGCAGAUGAAAGAAUUAUUGAUGGAAUGUAUCGGCAUCGCGCUGAUUCAACAGUGGUCGAAGAUUGAUAAUGAUUAUCCUGAGUUUGGAUCAGAAGCAAGAACCUUCGAUUGGCAUUAUCUACUGAUGGAAUGAACCACAUGGUCUUCAAAGUAUCUCACAUACCACAUGGCUGUGAUUUUAUGAUUAUAACUACCUCGUGGCUAUGUAUGAAGCAAGUACAUGAUGUUAUCUAUGUUCUCUGGGCCUAAACAACCAGGGAUGACAUAGACGUACUUGACACUCUGAUCGAAGAUUUAAAGAUUUUGUGGGAGAACGGUGUGGAGGUUUAUGAUGGAUAUAGGAAGAAAGUUUCAAUUUGAGAGCGAUGUUGUUUGCAUUAAUGAUUUUCCAGGCAUACGGAUCUAUCUGGGUAUAGCAUUAAGGUCAACGUGCGUGUCCUGUUUGUGAAGAAGAACCGAUACGAUUCGAUUGAAUUUGCCAGAAGAAUGUGUUUCUCGGUCAUCGUAGAUUCUUACAUCUCACACAUACCGUGGGUGGAGAAAAGCAUUAAUGGAGACACCGAACAUCGUAGAGCUCACCCGCAUUGUAAGGUGAACAAGUUUUGAAAAGGUGAAAGAUGUGCGUACUGAGUUUGGCAAGCUUUUUGCACAUAAGAUUGUGAAAGGUGGGUGGAAGAAAGGUCGAUAUUUUUUUGAAUUGCAUAUUAGAAGUCUUUGUACGUGAGACAUUUUCUCGAUGUUAUGCAUAUUGAAAAAACGUAUUUGAAAGUGUUAUCGGUACAUUACUCAAUAUAAAGGCAAGUCUAAGGAUGGCUUAAAGCAAGGGAGGACAUGUUAAAAAUGGGAAUGAGAACUGAAUUAGCACCCGUGAAGAAAGGAGACGAAAUAUCUACCCUGCUGCUUUUCUUUAUCUAGAAAGGAAAAAAAAUUUGUGUAAGUCUCUGAGUGAAGUUAAGGUUCCAGAAGGAUACUCAUCUGCUAUAUAGAAGACUUGUUUCUAUGAAAGACCUCAAGUUGAAGAAUUUAGACACAUGAUUGCAUGUUUAAAUGGAAAUUUUCUACCGAUAGGUAUCGUUCUAUUUUGCCAGAAAAAGUAAAGAAGUGCCAUAACUAAAUUGUGUUUUUUCUUUAGGUCAAUUUGUUGUAAGGUGAUCGAUCCCGAGAUCUACAACACUACAAAAAGAGAUUGUAAUUACCUUGUGUGAGCUUGAAAUGUAUUUCCUCCGUCUUUUUUUGACAUAAUGUUCAUUUAGUUGUUCAUCUUGUGAAAGAGACACAGUUGUGUGGACCAGCUUAUAUGAGAUGGAUGUACCCUGUGAACGGUAUAUGAAAUAUUAAAGGGUACGUGAAUCCCGAAGUCGACCAGAGGGUUGUAUUGUUGAACGAUAACUUGUUGAAGAAGCUGUUGAGUUUUGUACUGAAUAUUUGUCUAAGCUGUUCAAUCGAUUGGACUCCCCAGAGCUCAGAUUUUCGACAAAAUGGAAGGUAAAAAUUAAUUGGGAAUAAAAUUGUGACAAUAUCAAGGGAUGAAGGGUCAAAGUUCAUUUGUAUAUUCUUGCACAAUAAUAAUGAGGUUGAGCCAUAUGUUGAAAUGCACAAGGAUGUACUCCGAAGGUUAAAUCCGAACAGAAAUGAAAAUUGGAUAGUUAUAGCCAGAAAUCAAAGUUUCAUACAAUGGUUGAAGAUCAUAUUAUUUGAAGCGCUCUUCAGAUCUUCUCGGUAACAGAAAGGUUGAGAUGUUUGGCAUAUGGUCCAAGUUUGCAUGUGUUUUUCAUAGCGCAUAUUCAAUUAAUGGAUACACAUUUAUACCAAAGAACAAGAUGAUAAGAGUACUAUGCAAAAUAGUGGUGUCACCGUGCUAGCUGAAGCAAUGCAUAUAUCAAGUAUGAAGGACUUAAACCCAUAUGCAAAUUUGUCAUAUUUUGGAGUUAUUGAGCACAUUUGGGUGUUUGAUUACGAGAAGUUUCAGAUUCCAUCUUUGGUUGCAAGUGGUGAAUAGUAGUGGCAUACGAAUGGAUAGUCUGGAUUUUUGCAAGUUGAUCUUACUAGGGUGGGGUCAAAGAUGAACCUUUUUUUCUAGCAUCUCAGCUAAAGUGUUCUAUGUGAAUGACCGAGAGUACAAAAUGGUCUAUAGUGCUUUUCUCUAACAAAGUGACUGAUGAUAGCGGUGUCGAUCAAUGUGAUAUUGAUGUUGAGAAUGAGUCAUGCAUUAGACGGAAUGAGUUGAAUAGAAAUGAUGAAGUUGAGGAUUUAUCCGGAUGAUUUUAUAUAAGAAACGAUCAUAAUGAGGGAUUUGGAUCAAUUCUCCGUACGCAUUGCUAAGAAACAAGUGAUUAAUAUUCCAACAAAGAAAGGAGAGAUGUUAGUGACUUAGGUAAAUAUCAUGGUUUCUUUAUUUUUUUUUCAUUUGUUUUGAUAUAAGUUAUAUGUGAUAAUGCAUGAUUUCAUUAUAUUUUUGUUUUCAAUUGCUUUGAUUAUAAGUUAUAUCUGAUAAUGCAUGUUUCUUUAUUUUUUUGUUUUCAAUUGCUUUGAUAUAAGUUAAUAUUUGAUAUUUGAUGGUUUCUUGGUUAUUACAGGUUAGCAAGGCUGAUAACAACAUGAGGAAGUUAGUAAAGUAUCGCGCGAAGAAGAAAUUCGAAGAGGCAUCACAGUAAUGAGGGUGGUCCAAGGAAGAUCUCGAGGCAUCAUACUAGAUGUCUCUUGGAACAACCAGGGACAACUUAUAGAACCUAAUGGGCAUACCUUAACUAGUUUCAUCGGUGCCCUAGUAAGGAAUGAAUUCCCAUUACAUGUUGAUGAUUGGAGAAUAAGAGUUGAAAGAUCCAAAGAAAAUUUGAGUGAGAUAAGGUACAAUCUAUUUGGCCCUUAAUUAUGGGUAUCAAUUAUUUUUCAAUUACCGUACUAACUAUCAAUCUGUAUGUUUUCUUAGCGUGUUUUAACAUCGAAGAAGAAAGAAGAGGGUUUUGUAUGAAAUUGGCCGAAAGCUUCUUAGAGGUUUUCGGACAUUUUUCAUCCAAGUUCCUUAAGGAUGCGGAUGGUAAUUUUGUGGAUGCGGAGCUUCUAGAAAAUAUGAAAGUUUGAUAUCGGCUGAAGAAUGGGAGCUUUCAAAUCACAGAAAGACCACGACUUUUCAAAGAAUAAGUGCUACAAAUCGGGAAAGAGCAUCAAGUCCCGCAUAUCCGUACCGAAAGGACGUGUCGGAUAUGGCGCUUAGAAUCCAUGGUAAGUAUUUAUAAAUUGGCGAAAACAAUUUGUUCAUCAUAUAUUAGUUUUUCUGAUCAAUUUGUAUGACUUAAUGUGUAGCUGCAGAAGGAGGAAGUUCAGAAACAUUCUUCCUGCACAUGUUUUGUGGAAGGAAGCCCGUGUGGGCAAAUCUGGAGUCCACAGAGAAGUUUAAACGUAACCAGAAAUGUGUAAAGUUAAAUUUUUUCAUUAAUUGAAUAACAUUUUUAUACACAAUUAUUUGACAGUAUACGGUAUUCAUCUGAUUUUCAGGAGGAGCUAUCUCAGUCUCUAUCUCCCGAUGAUACUAAGAGCAUACUUAGUCGGGCAUUAGAUGUCCCUGAGUAUUUGGUCGGGUGAGGGGUAAGGGAUUUGGAGUCACUCCGACCUCCCUCAGUGUUAAAAAGGAAAGGCUCCUAGUAUCGGGAGCUUCAUGCAAGAUUGGAAGCAUGCAAGCUGAGCUUGAUGCAUUGAGGAGAGAAAGAGAGGCUAGGCCCUCAACGGUAUACAGAGAUGCUUCGGACAAAAACAGUAUCAACUGUACCUUUCAGCCGAACAUUCCAGAGGUAAUACUAUAAUUGUCUUAAAUUGAACUAUUUGCUUAAAUUAUGUAUUUGACAUUAUCACACAUUACGAUUUCUUGUUAUUUUGUUUUAGGGCAUUUCCCAUUGUCAGCUGUAUUGUCGUCACCAUACUUCGGAUGGUUGGCAAGGGAAAAGUGCAUCGUUAGCGGAGUAUUACUCCAACUAGGAGCUCCCUGCUGGAUGUUUGAAGGUAUCAGUUGAUAUUGCAGUUGAGCGAAUCGGCAUUACCAAUAUCCUAGCGAUGAUUCAGAUGCACACGGUGCACGAAGCAGUAGUUUCGUUUGUUCAUGGCCGACAAAACCUCAUAUGCGUAGGAUAUGAGGUAUGCUUAAACUUAUGUUAACUUUAAUGUGUAAUUCAAAGUUUAAAAUUAUGCUUAAAAUUUUACUUACAUUUUCUCUUGGUUAUGUUAAAUGACUCUCACAAAUCCAAAUCAAAAGAAAUGAGGUUAGCAAUGCUCCGCACACAAAAAAAGGAGGUUAGCAACGCCUCCGCACGGGUAAAAGUUCUGGUGCUAAGAAGACCGUAGCUAGGAAAAAACCUACCACAAGUAUAGGUCGUGCCUCAGGACAUUUAUAGAGAUGACGACUAUACCGACCGGAGGUGUUCGGAAUGUACAUGGAGGUAGGGAUUUUCGGCUUUGAUUACGACCAAUGAUUGGUAAUGAAGACUUCAUGCAAGUUUUUGGUCAUGAAGAAAUCGGCGUCAACGUUGUCAAUACAUAUAUUAGGUAAAUCCGGUCUACUUUGUUUUAUUAAUUAAACAACUUAUGUUAAUGAUGUUUCUUUUAUGUUAAUCCGGUUUACUUUAUGUUUCAAAAGAGGUGUUAAUGAUUUUUUUAUUAGGUUUUUGUAUGACAAAUUGAUGGCGCCCAAUGAUUUGGACGAGUCAUUCGGAUUCUAGCACCGCGACCGUCAACUUAGGUUUAAUCUUAAGUAGACCGCAUACCGUGACAGAGUAUGUUCUUCGGAUCCUCAUGGAGAAUAAAGAUGCGAGAAGUUGUUUUUUUAUACCGUUUAAUACCGGGUUAGCAUUUCAUUCUAAAUUCAUCUAUUAUAAUUAUUUUCCAAGUUACCAUCUAACAUUUGCCUAAUCAUUACAGUGGAUUGGUUUUUGCUCGCAUCAAUCCUAUCCGAGAAAUUGUGUAUUUCUGACUCGUUAGGAAUGAUUGGACAACAUACCGGAUAUGAAGGCUAAUUGACACGUAGUGAGAAUGUUUAAAAUUUUCUUAGUUUAUGUGAAAUUGUUCUAAUUGUUCAUUUUUUUAUUAGCGUCCUACAAGCUUUGGGCCCAACGAGAUAUCAACCUCAAGGAGGAGCGCACGCAUUACAUGUUAAAGUGGCGGUAUAUUUUUUUACCACAUUUUUUUAUAUUGUGAUGAACUUGAUAAACAGGAUUUAUAAUCCAUAUUUUUUUUUCAUGUGUGUCCUCAACAACGUAAUCAAAUAGAUUGCGGGUAUUUCGUGUUGAGGUUUAUGCGAGAUACUUGCUGUUGGGCCGAUUAGUGAUUCCACCGAUGUAUGGUAUUCUACUUAUGAGUUAUUUUUAUAUUUACAAUAUCUCAUAUAAUUAAAUAGUUGGAAUUAAUUCAAAAUGUAUGUUAUAUUAUAUUUGAGGAAUUCAAGUGUGGCAUUUUUAUCAAAGGAUCAGUGGACGAAUCAAAGAGGAGUGGUGUCAUUCAUGAUAGAGUCAAGUUUUUCAUAAUUUGUGUAUUAAUGUUACAUUUGUGUAUAUGUUGACUUGUAAUGUUACAUAAUUUGUAUAUAUUUUGAUACAUUUAAGGCAAAAUUGGUUGAAUUGGUAUAUAUAUAUUUUGUAGCCAAAAUUGUGUAGAAAAAAGGCCAAAUGGCAUGUAUAAAUGUGAUAACUGUCUGUCAAAAUUGGUUGAAAACAGGUAGAAUUCUGGUUUUAAACUGGAAAAUGUGGUAAAACAAAGCUCAAAAAUUUCGUAUACAUUAGACAGCGCUUUUGUAAAACGCUGUCUAAAGGGGGAUUAGAAAGCGCUUAGGCAAAGCGCUGUCUAAGGGGGGGGCUUAGACAGGCUUUUCAAAGGCGUGUCUAAGCCCCCCCCCUUAGACAGCGCUUUUGCCUUAAGCGUGUCUAAGGUUACCUAAAAAUUAAAAUAGGGGGGCUUAGACAGCGCUUUUUGAAAAGCGCUGUCUAAGCCCCCCCCCUUAGACAGCGCUUGGCCCAAAAGCGCUGUUAAGGUAUACCUAAAAAUUAAAAUAGGAGGGUCUUAGAAAGCGCUUUUGGCCAAAGCGCUGUCUAAGGGGGGGGCUUAGACAGCGCUUUUAAGAUUUAAAAAAGCGCUGUCUAAACCUUUAGCAGCGGAGGUUUAGACAGCACUUUAAAGCGCUGUCUAAGGCCAAAAAAAGCGCUGUCUAAGGUCUUGUUUGGCGUAGUGAAUGAACUCAAUUGAAAUUUGAUUGUUAUUAUGAUGUGUGAUGUUAGUUAUUUUUUGUAUGGUGAAUGCGACACAACGCCUGGACUGUUAAAAAAUGAAGUUAAUAUGUUAGAAAGAGUUAGUUUGAAAUUUGAAUGUUGGUUUAAUUUGUUAGGUUGUUAGUAAUGCCUUAAACGCAUACUGUUGGCGUUUGAACCUUAGUGUUUUAGAACAAAAAAUAUUAGUUGACAUAGGAUUGAAUGGUGGUGUUCCUUACAUCUGGUAUAUGUUGCAUAAUUUUGCAGGAAACAUUGAGAUGUAUGGGGUAAUGAACACUCUCAUCCCUAUGCCAGGCCAAACUCAAGACCAACCAUCAAGGAAGUAACUGAUUCAAUGGUGUUCUACAUUUGAAAUAACUUAUGCAUUGGAGCCUUCUACAUAUAAUGUCGAUGAACCUUCAAAAAGUAGCCUUUAGGUAUGAUUUGAACUUGUUCUAAUACUGUUUAUUUAUGUUAUUUAUGACAUAGAAAUCGAUAAAUGUUAUUGAUAGCUUAUGAAGUUAAAUUUAUGUCAAGUUAUGUUGAAAUGGAAAUCACCAAUUACAUUAGGUUAAUUGUUUGGAAUUUUGGGAUUGUUAGGUGGUAUUUGUAGUUAAUUUGGAAAGUAAAUUUGGAAUUUGAAUGUUGGUUAGAAAAGUAAUGAUAGAAUAUGAAUUUGAAUUGUAAUGAGGUCAGAAUGAUUUAUUAUUUUGGUGCCAUGUUAAUUGAAUUACAAUUGUUAUAGAAUUUGUGCUCUAUGUUUUGGAAAGCCCAUCUGCUAUGUGUCUUUUCCAUCAUGUUUUGAAUGAUGGUUUGUGUAUGUAGGAACGAAUUAUGACUAUAUGUGGUGUAUGCAUUGUAGGGCUAGAAUACACACCUAGUGAGAGUGAACUAAGCAUGGCAAAGUGCAUGGAGACAUGGAAAAGACAUGACACAUGGACACACCAUUAAAACUUGUGAAGAAUUUUGAACAAAAGUGGGAUACAUUAUAUGAAUGAAGAUGAAGUAAGAUUAAGGUCUAGGUAUUAGGAUUAGAAAGUUGACUUUGGUCAACUGUUUGACCAAAAAAGUAAGUUAUUGAUCAAAAGUCAAUUAUAGGUCAAAAAUGUGAUUUUUAUGUAAUUUGAUUUGGAUUCUUUUGUAAUGUAAUUUUGACAUGUAAUGUAACUGGCUUCCUUGAAUGGCAUAUAUAACUUAUUCU